AUUGAACGCUGGCGGCAUGCCUUACACAUGCAAGUCGAACGGCAGCACGGGAGCAAUCCUGGUGGCGAGUGGCGAACGGGUGAGUAAAGUAUCGGAACGUGCCCAGUCGUGGGGGAUAACGUAGUGAAAAUUACGCUAAUACCGCAUACGAUCUAUGGAUGAAAGCGGGGGAUCGCAAGACCUCGCGCGAUUGGAGCGGCCGAUAGCAGAUUAGGUAGUUGGUGGGGUAAAGGCCCACCAAGCCAACGAUCUGUAGCUGGUCUGAGAGGACGACCAGCCACACUGGAACUGAGACACGGUCCAGACUCCUACGGGAGGCAGCAGUGGGGAAUUUUGGACAAUGGGCGAAAGCCUGAUCCAGCCAUUCCGCGUGCAGGAUGAAGGCCCUCGGGUUGUAAACUGCUUUUGUACAGAACGAAAAGGUUUCUACUAAUACUAGGAGCUCAUGACGGUACUGUAAGAAUAAGCACCGGCUAACUACGUGCCAGCCGCCGCGGUAA
Molecule: ribosomal RNA, 500 nt
Filed under: uncultured bacterium
Lineage: Bacteria
Description: partial 16S ribosomal RNA
Rfam family: Bacterial small subunit ribosomal RNA
Source: RNAcentral